CAUCACUGCUAAUUACCCAGUGUGUCUGAUAUGCCAGAUGGAUAUUUAAUAAAUGGUCUAAUGAUUGGAUCUGAAAUAACAUAUUCAGGUUCAAGAGAACCAUGGUCCUGGGAGGGAGGUCACACAGUUCUCCAUUCUGCCAUCCAGCACCGUUGCUUUUAGAUGAAGUUUGAUGAGGCUGAAUUAGAUCCUGACAAUUGUAUGGCAUUUUUGUUUAAUUCCAAGGAAAUUUUCUUUCAUGGGCUUACCAUGAUUUCUAUGGAAACUCAUUUUGGGGAAAAUCCUCAGUCUGACUUGUUCCAAGUUGGAUUUACUUACUCUGGCAAAGUUAUGACCUAUUAAAAAGUGCUAAUGGAGACAACUGAGAAGCUAAGUUUCAGGGAACCGUGUUGUCUUAGUCUGCUUUGUGUUACUGUAAGAGAAUACUUGAGACUGGAUGAUUUACACAGAGAGCUGGCAUCUGCUCAGCUGCUGGGUACAGCAUGGCAUUUAGCCUUGGCGUUAUCCCUGAUUGCCUGGCCAGGCCUACAUCAGAGUUAGUGGGGGAGGAGGAGGAGAAGAAGGAGGAGUUGGUAUAGCUGACUGUUGAAGAGCUUAGGAUUUGGAGCCAGAAAGACCUGGGUUCAAAGUUCAAAUUUGCCUCUUACUAUGUGAGCUUCGAGUUCUAAAUAAAUCUUAAUGAUAACAUGAGCUUAUUACAAAGAUUUGAUGAGAUAAUAUACACUAAGGGCUUAGUUCAGUGCGUGGCACAUGACAUGUAAUGGUACCUGUUGUUGCUGGGAGUCUUGAUCUUAGUAUGGGUGGUUUAAAAGAAGAAAGUGAGAGCCAUUUUUUGGACAAGAUAAUAGAGGAAUCCAUGUUAAUGUAACUCACUGCUGAGUUGGCAAUGAGCUCGCUCAUUGGCAGCCAAAUGAAAAAGCCCAUAUGGGAAGAAAUUAAUAAAGCU
Molecule: long non-coding RNA, 946 nt
Filed under: Homo sapiens (human)
Lineage: Eukaryota; Metazoa; Chordata; Mammalia; Primates; Hominidae
Description: HSALNT0340067
Source: RNAcentral